AGGUCUAGCCUGCCCAGUGACUUUGUUCAACGGCCGCGGUAUCCUAACCGUGCGAAGGUAGCGUAAUCACUUGUUCUUUAAAUAAGGACUAGUAUGAAUGGCAUCACGAGGGUUAUACUGUCUCCUUUUUCUAAUCAGUGAAACUAAUCUCCCCGUGAAGAAGCGGGGAUCAAUAUAUAAGACGAGAAGACCCUAUGGAGCUUUAAACAAACAACAACUGCUAAUUUAUUUAUGACACUCAGGUUCCUAAUCUUAACCCUAGCACUAUGAUCUUAAGUUUUUGGUUGGGGUGACCGCGGAGUAAAAAUUAACCUCCACAUUGAAAGUAAUCCUUUCUAAGUAAAAAGUUACUACUUUAAACAUCAACAAAUUGACAUUUAUUGACCCAAUAUUUUGAUCAACGAACCAAGUUACCCUAGGGAUAACAGCGCAAUCCAUUUUAAGAGCCCCUAUCGACAAAUGGGUUUACGACCUCGAUGUUGGAUCAGGGUAUCCAAGUGGUGUAGCCGCUACUAAAGGUUCGUUUGUUCAACGAUUAAAACCCU
Molecule: ribosomal RNA, 545 nt
Filed under: Hylodes phyllodes (Boraceia tree toad)
Lineage: Eukaryota; Metazoa; Chordata; Amphibia; Anura; Hylodidae
Description: partial large subunit ribosomal RNA
Rfam family: Bacterial large subunit ribosomal RNA
Source: RNAcentral